RNAcentral lists this ribosomal RNA (495 nucleotides) under uncultured bacterium. Its description in RNAcentral is "partial 16S ribosomal RNA". It matches the Rfam family "Bacterial small subunit ribosomal RNA", at positions 28 to 507 of the family's 1533-position model. The record is from RNAcentral.
GACGAACGCUGGCGGCGUGCCUAAUACAUGCAAGUAGAACGCUGAAGGAGGAGCUUGCUUCUCUGGAUGAGUUGCGAACGGGUGAGUAACGCGUAGGUAACCUGCCUGGUAGCGGGGGAUAACUAUUGGAAACGAUAGCUAAUACCGCAUAAGAGUAGAUGUUGCAUGACAUUUGCUUAAAAGGUGCAAUUGCAUCACUACCAGAUGGACCUGCGUUGUAUUAGCUAGGUGGUGGGGUAACGGCUCACCAAGGCGACGAUACAUAGCCGACCUGAGAGGGUGAUCGGCCACACUGGGACUGAGACACGGCCCAGACUCCUACGGGAGGCAGCAGUAGGGAAUCUUCGGCAAUGGACGGAAGUCUGACCGAGCAACGCCGCGUGAGUGAAGAAGGUUUUCGGAUCGUAAAGCUCUGUUGUAAGAGAAGAACGAGUGUGAGAGUGGAAAGUUCACACUGUGACGGUAUCUUACCAGAAAGGGACGGCUAACUACGUG